AUACGGAGGGGGCAAGCGUUGUUCGGAAUUACUGGGCGUAAAGGGCGCGUAGGCGGAUUAUCAAGUCAGAGGUGAAAGCCCUGGGCUCAACCUGGGAACUGCCUAUGAAACUGAUAGUCUUGAGGCCGGAAGAGGAUGGCGGAAUUCCCAGUGUAGAGGUGAAAUUCGUAGAUAUUGGGAAGAACACCAGUGGCGAAGGCGGCCAUCUGGUCCGGUUCUGACGCUGAGGCGCGAAAGCGUGGGGAGCAAACAGGAUUAGAAACCCCGGUAGUCC
RNAcentral lists this ribosomal RNA (274 nucleotides) under uncultured bacterium. Its description in RNAcentral is "partial 16S ribosomal RNA". It matches the Rfam family "Bacterial small subunit ribosomal RNA", at positions 523 to 796 of the family's 1533-position model. The record is from RNAcentral.